AUGAAAUUCUAUUAUACCAAAGGGACUCGGUAAAGGCGAAGGCAGCCCUCUAUGUAAAAACUGACGUUGAAGGACGAAGGCACAGAGCACAAACAGGAUUAGAUACCCAAGUAGUCUUUGCAGUAAAUGAUGAAUGUCAUAGGUUAGAUUAAGCUUUAAUUAAUUAGUUUAUCAGUAAUGAACUAACUAUUAAACAAUAUUUAGUCUAUAAAUGAAAGUGUAAGCAUUCCACCUCAAGAGUAAUGUGGCAACGCAGGAACUGAAAUCACUAGACCGUUUCUGACACCAGUAGUGAAGUAUGUUGUUUAAUUCGAUGAUCCACGAAAAACCUUACCACAAUUUGAAUAUUUUACAGGAGUUGCACGGCUGUUUUCAGUUAAUGUUGUGAAACUGUGGUUUCCAUGAAAUUAACGCAAUCCCUGGCUUUAUUUUUUUUUUAUUACGAUAAAGCAUUUGAUCCAGGAUUUGGAAAGAAAAAGGGGACAAAGACAAGUCAUCAUGGCCUUGAUAUUGUGGGCUAUAGACGUGCCACAUAUUCCUACACAAAGAGAUGCAAAAAUGUGAAUUUAAGCUAAUCUCUAAAAAUAGGAUAUAAAUUUUAAGGAUUAUAGUCUGAAACUCGACUAUAUGAAUAAGUAAUUACUAGUAAUCGUGAAUCACCAUGUCACGGUGAAUUUACCUUGGAUUGGUACUAACCACUCGUCACAUGCUGAAAAGAGCAUGCGCAAUAAGUUUGCUUUCUUGAUGAUUAGUAAAAAGAAUAAGCAGGUUCUAUAUUCUAUUAUUAAG
RNAcentral lists this ribosomal RNA (789 nucleotides) under Metarhizium pingshaense. RNAcentral's name for it is "SSU rRNA". It matches the Rfam family "Bacterial small subunit ribosomal RNA", at positions 681 to 1533 of the family's 1533-position model. Lineage: Eukaryota; Fungi; Ascomycota; Sordariomycetes; Hypocreales; Clavicipitaceae. The record is from RNAcentral.